RNAcentral lists this microRNA (22 nucleotides) under Pristionchus pacificus. Its description in RNAcentral is "ppc-miR-81". Its record names the gene ppc-miR-81. Lineage: Eukaryota; Metazoa; Nematoda; Chromadorea; Rhabditida; Neodiplogasteridae. The record is from miRBase by way of RNAcentral.
UGAGAUCAUAGUGAAAGCUACU